Long non-coding RNA from Homo sapiens (human), 2042 nucleotides. Ensembl annotates it as TSPOAP1, SUPT4H1 and RNF43 antisense RNA 1. Its record names the gene TSPOAP1-AS1. The record is from Ensembl. Lineage: Eukaryota; Metazoa; Chordata; Mammalia; Primates; Hominidae.
AUUAACAUCUUGUCUGCAUCCCACAACAGGCAGAUGGCCCUGUGCAGGGCUGAGCUGGAAGAGGUGACCAGGGCCUCCUCGCACCUUGCCCACCAGAGUGAGCCUGGCCUGCAGCUCCCUGCACUCCCGCUGCAAGGCAGCAAUCUGCUUGUCCUUGGCCAGCAGUGCACUGGCUGUCUCACUGAGGUCCCGGGCUCGCUGGCGGGCUAGGGCCUUCCGACACAACUCCAAGCUGGUCCCCGGCCGGGGCAAGGGGGCACUCACCUAGCCAGAGGAGGGGUUGGCUGAGCUCUUCCCCACCCACAAAGGAGGCUGCAGAAGGCGCCAGGGCUGCUGGAGCUGGAGCCAGGGCCUCCUGCCCCCAACAGGAUUCCUCACAUCCCAGGACCAGCUGGAAAAGGUGGUGAGAGUUGGAAAGAGACUGCUCAGUGAGGACUGCCCUGCGAACCAGCUUGGAUUCAUCCCGUUCACCUCCACGUUCUGCACUCGGGGCCGAGGGAAGGGAGGCAGCCCAGGCAGCUAGAGAACUUGAUGAAACACACUCAAUCUGAAUCUCGCUUGAUCGUCAUGCUGACCCAGUGAGGGUCAGGCAUCCUUUCCGACUACUCACUCAGCAGCGGAUCCCCACCCGCCUCUGACUCCCAGUGUCUUUCGGCUCCAACGUAAGUUCACCGAACGUCUAAGAGCUGAGGAUUCAAAGGCAUGUAAGACCGCCCCUGCCCUCAGCUGCAAGACCUGUCCGCGAUCCUACGAGCCCCAUUCCGCCCUCUUUCCCCGACCUUGGUCCCCCAUGGGCCCUACAACCAGGUCCCCGACUGACACCUUGACCAGCGAACACAGCAAACAGGCCCGCAGAUGCCGCAGGUCCUUCGGCACCGUCUCCAGGGCCAUCUUCGCCGAUGGGAAGAACAACAGGGAGAUAGACGACCACAGCCUGUGCACCCGCAGGAAGUAAAUAGCUCGUUACCCAGAAUGCCCACCACUUCCGGCGCUUAGACUUCCUCUUCCGGUGUGGGCGGACGCCAGCUCCGCCCCUACCCCCGCCAGAGGAGAUGGUUUCUCCCGCCAGCAGGCGGGGAGGCUGGGCGGCCGGCCGCCACCUGGGCCGGAGCGCGUCGCAGCCACCUGAGCCCGCCGAGGGCGCGGCGGAGGCUGUGUGGGGUAGUCAGCGGGCCCCCGGGGCGGGGGGGCGGCUGCGCUUGCGCGGGAGUGUGUCGGGCUGAGCCGCAGCGCCGAGACGCGGGCUGUUUGAUCUGGGCUGGUGGCCCUGGGCGUCGGUCCUGUUCCCCGAUGGUAACCCGAAGUUUGUUUUUUUUUGUUUUGUCUCCCCGUUUUAGAAGCAUUGGGGGCAGUGAAUCCACUGUCUCCCUCUGGAUUGUCUCUGCAGAGACCGAGAAGAAAUCCAGGGACAGCCCCACCCCUCCUUCCUAACUGCGAGAGCGCUAUAGGGUUUCCACUUGCUUCCCACAGGAAUGCUGGCCUGGGAGCUACGGCGGAAAAAAAUGCGUAUUUAUCUUUUAAAACUCCGUCUGUUUGCUCGUUCCGGCUGAUAAUUUAUACUUUGCGCAGUUCUUAGCGCUUAGACACGGUUCCUUUACUAAAGACCAUUUGUAGGAGAUUAGGUGUCCUUUUUUUCCCUUUCAUUUCACCGUCUAGGAAGCGAAAUGCCUUGUUCUAUAGGCACUAAACCACCACCCCUACCAAACCUUUCUCGGGGAAGCAGAAGGGGAACUUGUGCCUUGUGAGGAAGCGACAAAGGCCCCUUCUGGCCCUGGAGACUUCACGCCAAUGGAGCACCAGCUCUCUGUCCUCGCAAUAGCCCGAGUGCAGGCAGAACGCAGUCAUUUGUGUUUAUCUGAGAGGAGCUUUGGGAUAUAAAUAGUUUCAGGCCCCGCUGCGCUGUCAUUCCAGCCCAGCCUCCUGAUUGAGCUGCUUCCGGGCGGGCUUUCUUCUUGUUGGCGGUCCCAUGCUGUGUUCAGAUGGGCUCUGUGACAGGUUUGGAUGUUUUCUAUCACUGAAUAAAACUUUCCACUUUGGAACAU